UUUAUUGGGGGGGGGGAAUCCAAAAAAUUUGGGGUCGGAAUCGCAAAAUUUGGGGUCGGGGUACAAAAAAUGGGGCUGGGGUCCCGAAAUUUGGGGUCGGAAUCACAAAAUUUAGGGCUAGGACCCCGAAAUUUGGGGUCAAGGUCCCAAAAUUUGGGUCCAGAACCUCAAAAUUUGGGGUCGGAAUCACAAAAUUUGGGGCUGGGGUCCCAAAAUUUGGGGUCAGAAUGAGAAAAUUUGGGGUCGGGGUCCCAAAAUUUGGGUUCAGAAGCCUAAAAAUGGGGCUGGGGUCCCAAAAAUGGGGUUGGGGUCCAAAAAUUUGGGGUCAGAACUUCAAAAUUUGGGGUCGGGGUCCCAGAAAUGGGGCUGGGGUCCCAAAAUUUGGGAUCAGAACCCCAAAAUUUGGGAUUGGGACCCCAAAAUCUGAGAUUAAACCCCAAAAUUUGGGUUCAGAACCCCAAAAUUUGGGUUAAGGACCCCAAAUUUGGGGCCGGGGUAACAAAAUCGGGUCCAGAACCCCAAAAUUUGGGGCUGGGGUCCCAAAAAUUGGAACAGGUGACCCCUGGUGUGGUCAGUGUCCAUUUUAAUGUCCACUCUGUGUCCACUCUGUGUCCACUCUGUGUCCACUCCAUUCAUUUCUGGAUGGUCAGUUGGUCACUCCCAUGUGGUCAGUUGGUCAGUGGCCAUUCCUGGCUGGUCACUCAGUGGUCAGCGGUCACUCCAUGGUCAUUCUCAGGCCAGCACGUGGUCACUCAGUGGUCACUCAGUGGUCACUCUCAGGCCAGCCUAUGGUUACUCU
RNAcentral lists this long non-coding RNA (799 nucleotides) under Junco hyemalis (dark-eyed junco). RNAcentral's name for it is "lncRNA (ENSJHYG00000016044.1)". Lineage: Eukaryota; Metazoa; Chordata; Aves; Passeriformes; Passerellidae. The record is from RNAcentral.